RNAcentral lists this transfer RNA (65 nucleotides) under Frisingicoccus caecimuris. It matches the Rfam family "tRNA", at positions 8 to 63 of the family's 71-position model. From Rfam's summary of the family: Transfer RNA (tRNA) molecules are approximately 80 nucleotides in length. Their secondary structure includes four short double-helical elements and three loops (D, anti-codon, and T loops). Further hydrogen bonds mediate the characteristic L-shaped molecular structure. tRNAs have two regions of fundamental functional importance: the anti-codon, which is responsible for specific mRNA codon recognition, and the 3' end, to which the tRNAs corresponding amino acid is attached (by aminoacyl-tRNA synthetases). tRNAs cope with the degeneracy of the genetic code in two manners: having more than one tRNA (with a specific anti-codon) for a particular amino acid; and 'wobble' base-pairing, i.e. permitting non-standard base-pairing at the 3rd anti-codon position. The record is from RNAcentral. Lineage: Bacteria; Bacillati; Bacillota; Clostridia; Lachnospirales; Lachnospiraceae.
CAUAGCUCAGCUGGAUAGAGCAACGGCCUUCUAAGCCGUGGGUCGGGGGUUCGAAUCCCGUCUCG